Molecule: ribosomal RNA, 472 nt
Filed under: uncultured bacterium
Lineage: Bacteria
Description: bacterial SSU rRNA
Rfam family: Bacterial small subunit ribosomal RNA
Source: RNAcentral
GGAGAGCACUCCUACGGGAGGCAGCAGUGGGGAAUAUUGCACAAUGGGCGCAAGCCUGAUGCAGCCAUGCCGCGUGUAUGAAGAAGGCCUUCGGGUUGUAAAGUACUUUCAGCAGUGAGGAAGGUGGAUAUGUUAAUAGCAUAUUCAUUUGACGUUAGCUGCAGAAGAAGCACCGGCUAACUCCGUGCCAGCAGCCGCGGUAAUACGGAGGGUGCGAGCGUUAAUCGGAAUUACUGGGCGUAAAGCGCAUGCAGGUGGUUUGUUAAGUCAGAUGUGAAAGCCCGGGGCUCAACCUCGGAAUUGCAUUUGAAACUGGCAAACUAGAGUACUGUAGAGGGGGUAGAAUUUCAGGUGUAGCGGUGAAAUGCGUAGAGAUCUGAAGGAAUACCGGUGGCGAAGGCGGCCCCCUGGACAGAUACUGACACUCAGAUGCGAAAGCGUGGGGAGCAAACAGGAUUAGAUACCCUGGUCG